Long non-coding RNA from Etheostoma cragini (Arkansas darter), 170 nucleotides. RefSeq lists it as uncharacterized. NCBI's taxonomy places the organism in Eukaryota, Metazoa, Chordata, Actinopteri, Perciformes, Percidae. The record is from RefSeq and is a predicted model, not a curated record. The transcript is spliced from 3 exons.
CAUUGUCCAUUUAUGUGCUCAUUCUCUUAUGGAGGAGCAUUUCCCAUUGAACCUUUGCUCUCUUGGGAUCGUCCUCUGCUGACACACACACACACACACACGGUCUGCUCUCUCAUUACCACGUUUUUAGUCCUUUCCUCUAAUUUAUUAGUCAUUGAUUGUCUUGAGAU